RNAcentral lists this ribosomal RNA (247 nucleotides) under uncultured bacterium. RNAcentral's name for it is "partial 16S ribosomal RNA". It matches the Rfam family "Bacterial small subunit ribosomal RNA", at positions 524 to 770 of the family's 1533-position model. The record is from RNAcentral.
UACGAAGGGGGCUAGCGUUGCUCGGAAUCACUGGGCGUAAAGGGUGCGUAGGCGGGUCUUUAAGUCAGGGGUGAAAUCCUGGAGCUCAACUCCAGAACUGCCUUUGAUACUGAAGAUCUUGAGUUCGGGAGAGGUGAGUGGAACUGCGAGUGUAGAGGUGAAAUUCGUAGAUAUUCGCAAGAACACCAGUGGCGAAGGCGGCUCACUGGCCCGAUACUGACGCUGAGGCGCGAAAGCGUGGGGAGCA